Molecule: transfer RNA, 70 nt
Filed under: Dipodomys ordii (Ord's kangaroo rat)
Lineage: Eukaryota; Metazoa; Chordata; Mammalia; Rodentia; Heteromyidae
Rfam family: tRNA
About the family: Transfer RNA (tRNA) molecules are approximately 80 nucleotides in length. Their secondary structure includes four short double-helical elements and three loops (D, anti-codon, and T loops).
Source: Rfam by way of RNAcentral
GGGAAUGUAGUUCAGUGGUAGAGCACUUGCCUUGCAUGCAUGAGGCCCUGGGUUCAAUUCCUCAGCACCA